GGGUGUCUUCUCCCUCACCAGCUGGGUUCCAUGCCUCUGCAGUGGUGUCUCAUGUUUGCUGUGUAGUUGCUGUCCUAACAGUAAGAAUUCCACGUUGACUCACCUCAUUUAUGCUUUCAUUCUCCUCCUGAGUGCUGUCGUAUCCUAUAUCAUGCAGAGAAAAGAGAUGGAAACGUACCUGAAGAAGAUUCCUGGAUUUUGUGAAGGGGGAUUUAAAAUCCAUGAGGCUGAUAUAAAUGCAGUAAAGAUUGUGAUGUGCUGGUUGGUUAUAAAGCUGUGUAUCGGAUCAGCUUUGCCAUGGCCAUCUUUUUCUUUGUCUUUUCUCUGCUCAUGUUGAAAGUAAAAACAAGUAAAGAUCCCCGAGCAGCAGUACACAAUGGGUUUUGGUUCUUCAAAAUUGCUGCCCUUAUUGGAAUCAUGGUUGGAUCUUUCUACAUCCCUGGGGGCUAUUUCAGCUCAGUCUGGUUUGUUGCUGGCAUGAUGGGGGCUGCCCUCUUCAUCCUCAUUCAGCUGGUGCUGUUAGUAGACUUUGCUCAUUCUUGGAAUGAAUCAUGGGUAAAUCGAAUGGAAGAAGGAAACCCAAGGUUGUGGUAUGCCGCUUUACUGUCUUUCACAAGCGCCAUUUAUAUCCGGUCAAUCAUCUGUGUCGGGCUGCUCUAUACAUACUACAUCAAACCAGAUGGCUGCACAGAAAACAAGUUCUUCAUCAGUAUUAACCUGAUCCUUUGCGUUGUGGCUUCUAUUAUAUUGAUCCACCCAAAAAUUCAGGAACACCAGCCUCGCUCCGGCCUCUUGCAGUCCUCCCUCAUCACCCUCUACAUUAUGUACCUCACCUGGUCAGCCAUGUCCAAUGAACCUGAUCGUUCCUGAACCCCAGCCUGAUGAGCUUUAUUACAUGCAUAACCACCAACACUGGCUCCUGGAAAUUCAACUGCUAUGGUCCCUACCCCUACUCCACCAUCAAAGAGUGGGUCUUUACUGGAUUCAGAUAAUUUUAUUGGACUGUUUGUCUUUGUUCUCUGUCUUUUGUAUUCUAGCAUCCGCACUUCCACUAAUAGCCAAGUAGACAAGCUGACCCUGUCAGGGAGUGACAGCGUCAUCCUUGGUGAUACAACUACCAAUGGUGCCAGUGAUGAAGAAGAUGGACAGCCUCGACGGGCUGUGGACAACGAGAAAGAGAGAGUGCAGUAUAGCUACUCCUUAUUCCACCUCAUGCUCUGCUUGGCUUCUUUGUACAUCAUGAUGACCCUGACCAGCUAGUACAGCCCUGAUGCAAAGUUUCAGAGCAUGACCAGCAAGUGGCCAGCUGCAUGGGUCAAGAUCAGCUCCAGCUGGGUCUGCCUCCUGCUUUACGUCUGGACCCUUGUGGCUCCACUUGUCCUCACCAGUCGGGACUUCAGCUGAACCUCUGAGUGCCAAGGACACCACUGAACCUCACAAAGGUCUCCUUCACCGAACACUCAUAUACCUUUUAAGUUUGCUUCAACUAAAAUAUUAAGUGAAUGCUUUGCAAGUUUGACUGUAUCCAGUUUUAUACCAGAAGGUGAGAUUGAAUAAUGCGUGAUGCAGAAUCUAAACUUCUCAUUUAUCUGCAUAUUUUGUUUACUUUUAAGGAUAUAGCACAAAGGGAACAUUUUUUGUUUAAAGUGAACUAUAGCUGUGCUGUGAAGAGAGUUCUUUAUAAAGCCUGUCGGUUCUUUCAACUUUGGUUUAAAAUGUAAGAUAGGAAAAUGUUGGAUAUUUGAGGCCAUGCUUAAUAUAUUUAUAUUGCAGUAUC
Piliocolobus tephrosceles (Ugandan red Colobus) is the source of this 1777-nucleotide RNA transcript. It is a transcript of the gene named serine incorporator 3 pseudogene, with no coding region annotated. NCBI's taxonomy places the organism in Eukaryota, Metazoa, Chordata, Mammalia, Primates, Cercopithecidae. The record is from RefSeq and is a predicted model, not a curated record. The transcript has a single exon.